CGUUGAUUUAGAACCGAAUCGCGUAACCUUGGGGUUCUGGAGUAUAGUCUCUCCUCUUCUCUUCGUUUAGGUUUUAGGGUCUCUUGAUUAUCUUUCUCACAGUGAACCAAAAGUUCAUGAAGAUUAAAGUGAGAAACGGAGAGAAACAACACAUGACCUAGUUGUUAUGUGAAGAUUCAAAGCUAUUAUUGAAGAUCCGAAGCUUCUAUUUCGAAGAGUUGGAAGUAAUAGAGAAGAUUUUUGUUGUGUUUUAUGCGUUUUGUCUGUAAGAAGAUCAAGUGCCUAAUAAUGGCUCCUGCAUCUAAAGAUAAUUUUAUCAGAUUCAAGGGUUUUUGAUAGUUUGUUAGUUUGGAUGUUGAUUUGUGUCUUGGGUUUAGAUAUAAUUAAGUUGUAAAUGUGUGUGUUUGUGCUUUCAUUUUCGUAUUUAAUAGUUUGCUUGUGUGUUGCAGGGUGUUUGCAGUUGUUACUGGUACAAAGAAACGAAUCUGGCAUGAGAUUAUUGGAAGAUUGGCUCUUGAAUGUGUGACUGUCGUGCUAACAGCUAGAGAUAAAAAGAUAGGAUCAAAUACAGUAUCAUUGCUUGUCAAAUGUGGGUUGGAGAAUGUCUUUUUCUACCAGCUUGAUGUUCAAGAUCAAUCUAGUGCUGAUUCCUUAGCUAAUAUGUCCAAACCCAAUUUGGGUGGCUCGAUAUCUUGGGUUCCAUUUGGUGGAAGAUGUUGCUUUCCUUUUCUUCAAAAUGCCACGAAUGGUACCCGAACUAUCAAAGAGAGGAUUGGAUGGAAGCUUUAAAACAAAGCCGACUUCAUAAAGGAUGGUCGACCAUGCGAUAUAAUGUUUACCGCUGGGAGCAAUCAGGAAGAAAUGCUCUGACAUGAAGAGAAUCAUAACCUGCGCAGAAUCAGCAUUCAUGAAGUUUUUAUAAAGACUGUGAUUGGGGUACUUGGAGAGCUCCAAAUUGGAUGAAAUGCCCAGUGGCGGUGUCAUUUGUAUCAUGUAAACAUAGUCAGCCAGCUACCAAUCCACCUACCGGAAGUUCCGAGGAUACCGGGAUUACUCGACCUUCCCUUGCGUAUUUCUUUUUGAGGAAGUGAAGGGAGCUGUUGCAAUUUCUUUUGUUGAUUUUAUUAUUGCCACCUAGUAAUGCCUAAUGUAACUGCCUCCUUAGUGAAAUAAUGGAUCCAAGUGGGAUGUUGUACGAUGUAAAUUUGUAAUACUUCGGAGAUGUUUCGCUAGGUUGAUUAGCCGGUCAAAAACCUCUGUAAUCCUAUAGGAGAGACCUAACUAAAAUGCAGUUCAAGUGGCGGUUUCAGUAGAUUGAGUGUUUCGGAUCAUAUUUUUCGGUGCAUGAUGAAUUUAUCCUUUUUUUUGUUGUUUGUUAUGUAAAACUGAAUUCACCUUUUAAAUACAAUGUAUAUCUGAUUUCACAUUCUA
This is a long non-coding RNA of Papaver somniferum (opium poppy), 1431 nucleotides long. RefSeq lists it as uncharacterized. The record is from RefSeq and is a predicted model, not a curated record. NCBI's taxonomy places the organism in Eukaryota, Viridiplantae, Streptophyta, Magnoliopsida, Ranunculales, Papaveraceae. The transcript is spliced from 6 exons.